RNAcentral lists this ribosomal RNA (492 nucleotides) under uncultured bacterium. RNAcentral describes it as "partial 16S ribosomal RNA". It matches the Rfam family "Bacterial small subunit ribosomal RNA", at positions 29 to 507 of the family's 1533-position model. The record is from RNAcentral.
AGUGAACGCUGGCGGUAGGCCUAACACAUGCAAGUCGAACGGCAGCACAGUAAGAGCUUGCUCUUACGGGUGGCGAGUGGCGGACGGGUGAGGAAUACAUCGGAAUCUACUUUUUCGUGGGGGAUAACGUAGGGAAACUUACGCUAAUACCGCAUACGACCUACGGGUGAAAGCAGGGGAUCUUCGGACCUUGCGCGAUUGAAUGAGCCGAUGUCGGAUUAGCUAGUUGGCGGGGUAAAGGCCCACCAAGGCGACGAUCCGUAGCUGGUCGGAGAGGAUGAUCGGCCACACGGGAACUGAGACACGGUCCAGACUCCUACGGGAGGCAGCAGUGGGGAAUAUUGGACAAAGGGCGCAAGCCUGAUCCAGCCAUACCGCGUGGGUGAAGAAGGCCUUCGGGUUGUAAAGCCCUUUUGUUGGGAAAGAAAAGCAGCAGGUUAAUACCCCGCUGUUCUGACGGUACCCAAAGAAUAAGCACCGGCUAACUUCGUG